AUACGGAGGGGGCAAGCGUUAUUCGGAAUUAUUGGGCGUAAAGGGCGCGCAGGCGGCUUGACAAGUCAACGGUGAAAUCCCUCGGCCUAACCGAGGAACUGCCUUUGAAACUGUCUCGCUUGAGGCCGGGAGAGGGUGGUGGAAUUCCCGGUGUAGGGGUGAAAUCCGUAGAUAUCGGGAGGAACACCAGUGGCGAAGGCGGCCACCUGGACGGUGACUGACGCUCAGACUCGAAAGCGUGGGUAGCAAACAGGAUUAGAAACCCCAGUAGUCC
This 274-nucleotide ribosomal RNA is filed under the name uncultured bacterium. Its description in RNAcentral is "partial 16S ribosomal RNA". It matches the Rfam family "Bacterial small subunit ribosomal RNA", at positions 523 to 796 of the family's 1533-position model. The record is from RNAcentral.